Molecule: long non-coding RNA, 4776 nt
Organism: Orcinus orca (killer whale)
Lineage: Eukaryota; Metazoa; Chordata; Mammalia; Artiodactyla; Delphinidae
Exons: 2
Source: RefSeq, a predicted model, not a curated record
UUGAGUUCUCCCCCAACACCUCCUUCCCCCCAGCCAAGCAGCCACCCAUCUGCUCGUCUGUCUCGGGGCUGCUGGCCCGUCCAGGCCUGAUCAAUCUAAUGGGGAUAAGAUGCCAACCCCCUCCCAUCUCCAUCCACUGACUCAUUGUGAUUCAUCUUCUGGGACCAACCCCUAUUACAUAGAUGGGGAAACUGAGGCUCAGAAUGGGAGGGUCCCACAGCAAGCAAGAGCAGAGCCCCUAGACUCUUAGCUCUGCUAAGGCCACCCAAUCUGUGCUGGACUAGACACUAUUCCACGUGGAACUAUUUCUUGGCCUUUAAUGACUUAAAAAGCAGGAUGAGGCAUGUGGGGACCCUCCCACCCAGGGGACCAGCUGUGCUUCCCCAGACCCCAUCACCACCUCCGGCGACCUGCACCCUCCUUCCCAGAGCUGCUGCCACCUGCGAGUCGGUGAGGGGUCAGGGUGCAAUUGGCUGUAACGGGUUCCUCAGGGCCUCCAGGGGCCAGGCAGUGGUGGGGAAGUGGCUUGGAUAAGGACCUGGCAAUGUCGGACCUGUUGUGGGGUAACCCACCCUAGGGCACAGGGUUCUGGUCCACUGUUCCUCCCCCUUCACAGAAUGCCCUCCAGUGCCUGCCUGCCAUGGGGCAAGGGCAAUGCCCGACACUUCCCUUGUGCAGAUCUGGUCCCAGGAUCCAGUGAGGACCCCUCUGGCCUCAGCAGGGGAAGAAGGGUUAAGCUAGGGGGUAGUGCUGCCCCAAAGACUCCAUUUCCAAGGCAAUACUCCCAGCCCAGCCAGCACCAUCCUUGGCCCUUGAGGGGCCCAAGAACCUUACAACCAGGCAGCCUGACUGGACUUCCUUGACCGGGCACAUAGAUGCUGCCUAAGUCCAUAACUGGCAGCCCCUCAGCUGGGCGCAGCUACCCCCUAGCCUAGUACCUCCCACACAGGGCCACCAGCUGUGUCUGCCUCUCCGGCCAGAUGUGCUGGCUCCCUGAAGCUGCAGAUGCCCCUCCCCAUCUGGUUGUGCCAGCUGCAGCCACACACCCCACCCCCAAGUUCAGGCCAGCCCAGCUAAGAUACAAGACCAGGGGAGUGGUCAGGCACUUGCGUUGCCAGGGCGUUUCAUGCCCUCAACCCUCCCCCCAAGCCAGGCUGGGGGAAGGCCAGGUGCCAGGGACACCUGCCGAGGCUGCCUUACCAUGGUCAGACCCUUCCACUCCUAAGGGGCACUCUGCCUCACUGUCACGAAACCACCAGAUUCCUACCCUGCCCUGGCAUCUCCCUGGAGGCCCUAGGAUGAAACCUGGGCGUCCAUCUGCACACCCUACUCCUAUGUCAAUCCUUCCAUCGCUGGGCAGCAGUGGGUGGGCCCAGACUGAGCAAGGGGGCACAGGCUCAUGACUUCCAGCCUCCUCCUUUUAGGGAGGAGGUGUCUAUGCCAGCCUCCUCUCAACUCAGGCCAUCCGUCCUUCCGGAGAAACAGGCCCAGAGAGGGCGGGAGACCGGCCCAAGGUCACACAGGAGUUUGGACCGGAGCUGCAGGCGUCCCCCACAUUCCGCUCGGCCCAGGAGCCCCGAAUCCCCAGGCAGGGCGUCUCCAGCGCCCACGUGGCCCAAGGCCCAGGCGGGAAUCCGACCUCCUCCCUCCCCCCAUCACCCAGUCCGAGGGCGGUGCCGUCCGGGCUCAGAGAAGCGCCCCCCUCCGCCAGUGCCUAGCAGGACCUCAGCCUCUCGUGCCCGGGCCCCAACCCCAGGAAUUUAACCCCUUACACGCCGACGGCCGCGUCAGAGCGCCGCAUUCCCAGCCCGCAAGGACCCAGAGAAGGGGUCGGGGAGACCCGGAGGGGGGUCACCUCAGCUGGAUGACAACAGAGCCUGAAGAAACGUGGAGUUGGCAGGGGAAGCAAGACCAAGCACCAUCACUGGUUCUCUGCGUAGGUGAACAUUUCUGCCUGACGUUCUCUCUAGCUCCACCUCGUGCCCUACCACUAAUACUCGGCCAGAAGACGAAAACAAGCCACAGACGGAUGAGAUGAGGUCUCUUCACUGGCUGGGUCAGCAAGGAGACUCAGUGUCUCCUUUUCCAUUUCAGAAAGACUAUUUGAAGUCUGGAUGAAUAAAGAAGGAUGAAACAUGCACAGACUCAAACUUAGACUAAGUAUAUAUUUUAAUGUCUACAAGGCCCCCCUUUCCAGUUUUAGGGAAAUUUAAAUGAAGUGUAUACAAAUCAGACAUUACCAAUAUGUACAAAAGUAUUUUCUACAGUUUUUGAACAAUACCAGCUAUAUCAUGUUUCAUUUGCAGUAAACAGGACAUUACAAAACCAGUCCAAUAAUGCCUUGUCUAUUAAGAAGCACAAUACACAUAAUUCAAUUUUAUUUAAAAAGUAACUUAAAAUACAGAACAAUCCCCUUUAUGAAGAAAAGCUAUUUCUGUAGUCCAUUCAGUAAACACACAAGUUGAAUGCUGCAGCUGAGGGCUGUCCUUUUCCAUGGAGAAAACAAACGAGGCUUCUAGGGCCCACCUUUUCAGGGUAAAAUUCUACCCACAGCACAACAGGCGAAGUUAUUGCCUGUGGGAGGCAGAAUUCUAAAAUGCCCCUCCUCCUAUUUCAUGCCCCAAUCCCAGGAACCUGUAAAUGCGAUACCACUUCUGUGAUUAUGUUCUGUGGCACAGCUGACCUUAACACAGGGAGACUAUCUCAGUGGGCUUGAUCUAAUCACACAAACCUUAAAACAGAGGAGGAAGGCAGAGAGACCUGAAGCAUGAGAAGAAGGCCUCGAUGGGCCAUUGCUGGUUUGAAGAUGGAGGGAAGCACACAAGAAGGAAUGCGAGCAGCCUUAAGGAGCCGAGAAAGAGGACCCCGGCUGACAGCCAGCAAGGAACUGAAUACUGCUAACAAUCUGAAUGAACUUGGAAGCAGAUUCUUCCCCAGAGCCUCCAUAAAGGAAUGCUGCCCUGCUGACCCUUGAUUUCAGCCUUGUGAGACCCUGAGCAGAGAAUCCAGCCAUACUGUGCUGGACUCAUGAGCUACAGAACUGUAAGCUAAGAAAUGAGUGCUGCUUUAAGCUGCAAAGUUUGGGGUCAUUUGUUACACAGCAAUAGAAAACUAAUACACUGCCCAAAGGUAACUCUUCUUAACGUAAUUAGAUUUGGCAGUUUUUGUUUGGGUUCUAAAUGCAGUUUCUUUCCACUGCAUAUUAUUAAAGCAAUAUUCUCCUCUGUAGGCAACUUCUGAAAACCCUUCAUAUGAUCGCACAUUGUUUUGUAUUCACUAUCAAGUAUGUUUGUUUGACUUAGGUCCUAUUUUCUAAUGUAUUCUCAUCUAUCAACUUGGCAAACAACUGGCCACAACCCUGUUUAUGAACCUUUUAUGGGUGAUGGUUUUAAUAUAUCCAAGGUCACCCCUCCAUCCAUCAGGGGUGGUCAGAUCCCUCCAACUGAGGGCUCUUUCCCACUUCCCAAGUACACCAGGCAAGCCCUGGGGUAGGAUGGCACAGAGUUCUGCAUCAAACAUCCAAUAUGAAUUUCUUCUGCAUAACUGGAUUAAACUGGCACUAAGGUGAUUAAGUACACUUGGGGAAAAAACUCAAACUAAAGGUUAAAAAAAGUCUCACCAGGGCUUCCCUGGUGGCACAGUGGUUGAGAGUCCGCCUGCCGAUGCAGGGGACGCGGGUUCGUGCCCCGGUCUGGGAAGAUCCCACAUGCCGCGGAGCGGCUGGGCCCGUGAGCCAUGGCCGCUGAGCCUGCCUGCGUGUCCGGAGCCUGUGCUCCACAAUGGGAGAGGCCACAACAGUGAGAGGCCCGCGUACCGCAAAAAAAAAAAAUCUCACCAGUUUUUACAGGUCAAAUCAUUUUUGCAGGAACCACCCAAGACUGUGAAAGUGUGUAAUCUAUGCAGUACUGCACACCCCGAUUCCCUGUCUGUUGUCGUAGGUUUACCAUCUCACACAAGGCUUCACUGAGUCAGUGCAGGCCACUGAAACAGGGAAACAUGCUGGCGGGUGCUGAGAACAGUUCAACUGCUCUUGCAUCUGCCUCUUACUUGAAAGACUUAAAAGUAAAGCCCUGCAAAAUGUGCCCAGGAUGGUGGCAGGGAGAUCUUGGUGUUACUUUUGAAGUCCACUCUCCAAUCAACUCCUCCAGGGACACACGCAUCAGUUCUGUGCAGCAGACCCCAGUGGCCACACAACCCCAUGCCAAUCCUGCCUGCUCCACGGCCUCCAGCCCACACCUGUGCUUGAGAGAGGCCCUCCAAAUAUUUAAAGUGAAUAGAGCUUAGAAGGACCCAUGUUUGGUGCCAAUGAAUUUUUAAAAAUUCAUUUCUCUCUCUGACGGAAUUCUAAUGUAUAGUAUGUAAGAAUAAUGCACCAAAAGGUACCAAGCACCAAAGCAUGAACUGGAAUAGAAUUGUCUUUUUACAAACCGAACUUCUGAUAGUAUUUAUUAGAAAGCACAUAAAACAUUAGGGCUUUAGAGACAGUGCAGGUAUUUAUAGUUAAGGCUGAUUUACUCUUCUUAACCUCACCCGCCAGCCUGAAAUAAUACACUGGGCUGUAUGGUGACUACUUUUCUGAUCCUCUGAGACAACAAAGAAGUAAGGAAUGAAUUAAGAACCCCAGAGCCACUGCCUUAUACUCCUGGCUACCAUCAGUAUCAGUUCUGGGCAGUUUGUUUUUAAGAGCACACAUGUAUAAGGUUCUGUGUAAUUGGUAUACAAGUAUUUGGUCACCUUUCACAGUUCUCCUUCACAGUUCUAUGCUUGGCAGCGUAC